AGUGAUGAAGGCCUUAGGGUCGUAAAGCUCUUUUACCAGGGAUGAUAAUGACAGUACCUGGAGAAUAAGCUCCGGCUAACUCCGUGCCAGCAGCCGCGGUAAUACGGAGGGAGCUAGCGUUGUUCGGAAUUACUGGGCGUAAAGCGUACGUAGGCGGUUAUUCAAGUCAGAGGUGAAAGCCCGGGGCUCAACCCCGGAACUGCCUUUGAAACUAGAUAACUAGAGUCUUGGAGAGGUUAGUGGAAUUCCGAGUGUAGAGGUGAAAUUCGUAGAUAUUCGGAAGAACACCAGUGGCGAAGGCGACUAACUGGACAAGUACUGACGCUGAGGUACGAAAGCGUGGGGAGCAAACAGGAUUAGAUACCCUGGUAGUCCACGCCGUAAACGAUGAUAACUAGCUGUCCGGGUACUUGGUAUCUGGGUGGCGCAGCUAACGCAUUAAGUUAUCCGCCUGGGGAGUACGGUCGCAAGAUUAAAACUCAAAGG
Molecule: ribosomal RNA, 486 nt
Filed under: Sphingomonadales bacterium
Lineage: Bacteria; Pseudomonadati; Pseudomonadota; Alphaproteobacteria; Sphingomonadales
Description: bacterial SSU rRNA
Rfam family: Bacterial small subunit ribosomal RNA
Source: RNAcentral